GAUGGUUAUGUGGUAGACUUUUCAGUAGUAAUUUGAUAGCACAUAUGAACCCCAUGGGUUUUGCACAUCAGUGAAUUGAGAAUUACUUUGUCCUAAAGUCGAAUGGCCAAAAAAGAAUAUACCUUCAUGGGAAUCCCUUGAGAAAAAAAAUAACAAUUUUUCUACUGUUCCAGUAUGUCAUAAGAUUCUUAUAUCCUUUCACACUUCAUAAAUGCAAUUAAUGAUCUCUCUCUCUCUCUCUGGUGCAAAUUACUUUGUGUACAUAUUCUGAUGUAGUCUUGAUAAUUGCCCUUGCAGUGUAAUCUCUAAGAGAUUAUUUACAAGAUUUGCAAAGAUUAUGGCAAUGUCAAAUAUAUCAUCUUGGUGAAAUAGAAAACAAAGAAUAAUAAUUAGUCAUUUCUACAAAGUUUGGAAUUUACUAUGACUGUUGGUAUAAAGUUUAAUUCCACUUAUAAAACAAGUCACUUCGUGUCACUAAAAUUAAAGCAAAUUUCCAGAAUCGUGUCUUAACCACGUUAAUAUCAAUUCGAAAUGGAAUCAUUGUUUUGGCUGUCUUGUGCUUGAUAUUAUAUGAACCAGUCUGUAAACUAUACAUGAACCAAAAAUAUCCAAGGAAGCAGAGGUGGUUGAAUCAAUUCCAUCAAUUUUUUCAAAGGCUGUUGACUCAUGAUCUAGUGGUUAAAAUGGAGACCCGGGAAAAGCAGAAUAAAACCAAGAUUCUGUCCUCAGCUGAAUGACAAGUCUCACACACCAUGCUUCCUUCCUUCCAGGGUGCUUAUGAGAAAGAGAGAGUUUUCAGAACCUCAGAUCCAGUCCCAUAUGACUGUUGUUAUCAGAAGGCUGUCCAGAUGGCACUGUGUGUAAGCCUUUGGUAAUAUUCUUUACAUUGUCAUAACACCUACAACAAUUUGAUUUCCUAAUGCUUUUCCCAUGGGUUAGUAUUCAGUGUUUUCUAGGUUUUGAAGGUAGAGGGAUGCAUCAUAUCUCACUGGCCUACAGAAGCUCUUGCAACUAUUAUAUUGAUACAUAAAGGAAUAAAUGACAGGUGCAGCAUCAUGAUUUGACUUUCCAUUUGUAAGCUGGAUUUGGUGAAGUUUGACCCUGGUGCUUUCUGUUCCACUGUUAAGUGACAAAGUUACUCAUCUGUACAUAAGCAUCUGAAAUUUUAGCAGGUAAUUACGUAAAUGAAGUAUUUUACACAAAGCAUUAAAAUUUGUAUCAGAACAGCUCACAUUAUUUCUCAGUCACUAUUGGCAUAUGUAAAACACUUUUAAAGCUCUCAACAAGAUAAUAAAGUAAAACAUUUUUCUCUCUUCCUUCUUAGUCGUUAUCUAGAUAUUUUUCUUUUAGAUAAACAAUUGGCAUUGUGUUUACUGAAGCUCCCAUUGAUAUUCCCCAAUAGUGUUUGCAACUUGAGUUUUAUUCCAGCAGCUACAAGAAAUGAGUCCACAGUGCAGAGCAGGAGGUCCCUCUGGAACCUGAGAUUAUUUGUUCUCUCACUGUUCUAAAGGUUUUGAUCGUCUCAUUUUGAUGUCCUCAAAUCAAGACCACUUUGCAGGAAUGUCAAUCAUGUGAAAUGAGAGAGCCAAUCAGCAAAAUCCUGUCUCAACCAGCCCAGGUGCCCCAAAUCCAGAUCGGAGGACCACCCCUCACGUCACCACCAUCACCUGCCUGGUCCGAGCCGUCACCCCCCGUCACCACCUCACCAGGCCCUGCUCCAUCCUCCAUGCUCCAUCCAGGGUAAGCCUUUUAAUGCAUAAGUCACAUCAUGUCACUCAUCAAACCCUCCGAUGGCCACCAGCCAACUUAAAAUCUAACGUGCUUGCUGGGAUUUAGGGCUGCAGCUCUAAUGUCCUCUCUCACUCUCCAGCCAACUGUUCCUGAAACCCUCCCUGCGGCACAGGCCUCAGGCCCCUGCACUAUGUCCCUUGGUCUGGAGCCUUCUCCCCUAGACAUUCACAUGCCCCACUUCCCCCGUUCACUCUCUGCUCAAAUGUCACUUCCCCUACCUUCCCUGACCACCCAUCUAAAAUGCAUCCCCUUAGCUCUCCCCUAGCCUGAUUUAUUUUUCUUCAUAAUAGUUAUAACUUCCCAUUAUAUUUUUUCCAUUUUUCCGAUAUAAUCUAUAUACAGUAAAAUUCACCCCCUUUUUUAAUGCACAGUUCUCUGAACAUUGACAAAAAACGUACAGCCCUUUAAUCAUCACCACCAUCAAGAUAGACAGCAGCUCCUUCACUCCCCAAAUUCACUCACUCCCCCUUGGAGUCAAGCCCUUCACACCUGGUCCUCAGCAAUCUGUUUUCUGUCCUUACAGUUUUGCCUUUUGCAGAGCAUCACCUAAAGGAUGGAGUCAUACAGUAUGUGGUGUUUUGCGCCUGUCUUCCUUCCUUCGUGUAAUGCGUGUGGGGUUCAUUCACGAUGUUGGAUAUGGCGGGUCUUUCCUUUUGUUGCUGUGUAGUAUUCCAUUGUGUGGGCGACCAGAGGCUGUUUAUCUAUUCCCUACUGAGGAUAUGUGAGUCGCUUUCAGUUUUGAGGGGACAUGAUUACAGCUGCUACAGCAACUUGUGAUCAAGUUCUUGUGAAGACAUAAGGUCUCAUUUUUUUCUUGAGUAAAUACCUAGGAGUUGAGUUGCUGGGCCAUACGGUAACUGUAUGUUUAACUUUACAAGAAUCUGGCAAUCCUUUGCCAGAGCGGCUGUACCGUCUUACAUUUCCACCAGCAAGAGACGGCAGCUGCAGUUGGUCUGCAUCCUCACCAGCACUUGGUGGUGUUGGUUUUUUGGUUUGUUUUUUGUUUCACCGUUCUAACCAGUGUACAGUGGUAUCUCGUCAUGGUCCCGUCAUUACGUAUUGAUUUGUGAGAGACUAAAUAUACAAAUGGACAGUGGCUAGACCACAUAUGGCAACAAACUAUAACCCACCACUUCUGCAGCAGCCAGCCCAGAAUGGUCCAGACUGAGUCAGACAGUGCCAGCUCCCUCUAAUUUUUGCCCCCCCGCCUCCAACUCAGGACCUACCCAAGAGAGACAAAUAUGUUCCCCUAACGAAGCACAUAGGAUGCCCUAUUAACCCCUCUCUAGCUUCCUGAGGCCAGCGACCUCCAGCCAGAGCACACCUGAAGUCUUUCCCUUAUGUCCACCUUAAAGGCAUCCCAGUUCCCUGCCUGCCUUUGACUCUGCCUAACACGAGUGACAGUGGCUGACUCCCUGCUCUAGGAAGCUCUGAAUAUAACCUCUGCUUGUUCUCCUUUGAGUGGUCUUCCUUUAUCUUCCAAGCCUGUGUAUUCACUGUCUUCUUCCAUCAGGAGAGGGUAUCUGUGCCCCUCUGGAUCCUCACUGCCUGGAACGGUGUCUGGCAUUCUAAUAGAUGCUCCAAAAAACCUGUUGAUGGACUUCAGGAAACUCCAGGCUUCAGUUUGAGCCCGUGGCUUAUUUCCUUUGAAUGGGGGCAGAAACUGUAGCCCAGGAAGUUGCCGGAGCAGUGAGGCCUGGGGCUCUAGCAGGUCCCUUGGCCUCUGCUAGGGUUGGGGUGGGCCCAGCUCUUCUCCUUCUCCAGACCCACCCCGUCUGCUGGUUGGCAGCUUCCUGCCCCAUCUGAGCAGCCCCCUCUGCUUCCACGGGGAGAGGUAGAGGGUUUGGGCCAGCACAGGAGUGCAGCGAGAAGGCCUUCCAGUUCUUUCUAAGGAUCUUGUCUGCUGUGGAAGAAUGCUGAGCAGCCCCGGGAAAGGAAGCCUACAGAAGGCUCUUUCGGAGGCAGCCAGAAUCUUCUCUGCUUUUGGAAACUGCCUGUUAGACUAAACAUCUCGUUGCCCCAAAUUGCACCAAUUUUGGAAACGCUCCCCGAGCUCUGUCUCUCCCUGGGAAAAGGGAUUUAUAAACCCUUAGUCUGAAGCAGCUCUGCAUGCAUCUCAGCUCAAGGGCUUUCAAAAGGCCCUUCUAGAAGUCAACUUCAGAAAUUGGACUUGCAGUAGCAGAAAAAGCAGAUGCCCUAGACCCGGGUAUGGUGUGCCUCGGUCCUGGUCUCCAUGGGUCCCACCUCAGGAAGGCUGAUGUGGGGAUGGGAUUAGCGCUCCAGGGGGCCCUCAGAGCCCUGGAGGCACCCACACUAAAUCAAACAAUAAAAACAAACAGCAGAAUACAACUUUCAAUGACUGCAUCUCCAUAUGUGAGGAUUUUUAAUAUUUUUUGUCGCUAUGGUGUCAAAUUUAUUUUCUUAAAUAUGUCUAAUUGUUCCUUAAUCAGCAGUUAUUUAAAACACCUCGGCUUCAUCUCAGAUUAAGUAUUUAAUGAUCUGCAAAGGAAGAUUUGAAGAUGCUACUUAACAGAGCUCUUACCCUUUUGCAAUGUGAUCCAUUUCACCUGCUAUCUGUAAGAAAACCAGCUGCUUGGUGCUGUUGUUAAGAAUGAGUUAGGUGAUGCAGGGAGAGAGGGGGAGACUCCAUCCCCACCCUGAGCCUCGUCCCCAUAAGAUGUCUCAGCUUGAGGAAUCCCGAGCUUCUGAGGGAUGCCUCUGGCUGGGGCUGUGGAUACGGGCUCUGGACUCCUUAGCGGUGGGUGAGGCAGCCAAUCUUCACAUUUGUGCUGUUGGCAACCACAGGGAGACUGAUGGAGUCUGGUUUCCACAGCUCUGGCAGCGCUCAACAAACAGGAGCAUUCAUUACUACACACAGCAACACAGAUAGUCAGACACACAAAAACAGGUUGAAGUUUGGGAAGCACUGGGCAGAAUUGUGAUGUUUGAAGCAACUACACCUACUGCCUAAGACUCUUGGUUGUGUUUGGGGAGAGAGAGUUUUGUAUAAGAUUUGUUUCAUUUCUAUUGGGUUAGUUUGCUAUGUCUUACCUGGCAUUUCUGUGUAGGGCACACUCCAGGUUUAUUUCCGGGGGAGAGAUCAGAGCCAUCAAAUUACUGACAACGAAUGAAUGGACGGAUGAAUUGACGGGCACUGAAUUGCUGGAAGACCCAGGUGUUGGGCCAAGGGACUUUACAUUUUCUCUUUUCAUC
Aethalodelphis obliquidens (Pacific white-sided dolphin) is the source of this 5004-nucleotide long non-coding RNA. RefSeq lists it as uncharacterized. The record is from RefSeq and is a predicted model, not a curated record. The transcript has 3 exons. Lineage: Eukaryota; Metazoa; Chordata; Mammalia; Artiodactyla; Delphinidae.